Molecule: non-coding RNA, 1423 nt
Organism: Odocoileus virginianus texanus
Lineage: Eukaryota; Metazoa; Chordata; Mammalia; Artiodactyla; Cervidae
Source: RefSeq, a predicted model, not a curated record
GGCGGGUCUCAGCUUCCACCGUGACCCCAGAAGAGGAAAGAACAGGCUGCCCUCUCUUGACCUUGCAGAGAGGGCUUGGGAACCUUUAGUCUAAAUGUGAAAGUCCCACGGAGAAAAGGAGCUGCAGAGAUGGUGGGAAAACAACGACCAUUCUAAGUGCGGCCAGAGGCUCAUGAAUCACAUCAAGGGCUGCGUUGUCUGCGCCUCUCCCAAGGAAGACGAGUGACGUUUAGCAGCCACCGGAUGGAGCUACUUGACUGUGAGAUAUUUUCUAUGAUGUCGUUUCUAAAGAAGAGAAAGACGAACUUGGAGUGACCCUGUAUCUCCAGCCCAUAGAAUUCCCGGCCCAAUUCAAGCCCAGACGGGUGGCAAAAAGCAGUUCAACAUUCCAUGGAAGGGACACCGGCUUUUAGAGAGGAAAAGCAGUCUUGAAACCAGUGCAUUCAGAGACAUGUAAAAGAGCCCCCCUUCCCCAGCCUUACUUUUUGCCCUGUGAUGCUCAGCCAAUACACACUGGUGGGAUCCUGCCCCCGUGGUCCAGCGUCAUGGCUGUCACUGUGGAAGCUGCUCCUGAUUGGUCCAGAGCAUCUCAGGGUCAUGAGAAGAGCAGAGUUCGUGCAUCCAGGGAAGCCCAGAUACUAACUCUGUGAUGAGGGCUGGUCAGGCCAUCUCCCUGAAAUUUUAGUUCCUUUACACAAUUUAUUCCCUUGCCUUUAUAAUGUUUUUAUUAUGAAUAAAUGUUAUUAUAUACAAUGUUCCUAGCAUUUCCCCCUUCUUUCCUCACCUGUUCUGUAUAACCCAGAUCCAAGGCCAGCGCCUCUUCUACCCAGGCUGAAAACAGUCUCUUCUUUUUAAAACCCCUUCCCACCCACAUUUUUUUCCUGAGUCUUUUAAGGGCAGACUGUUGCCUGUGUUUGUAACUAAUUACAUACAAAGUUAUCUCUAGGGCAGGCUAGGGAGGGCCCUCUGUCCCCUCCAUAUGGUUAGCACCCAUUUCCAUGAGUCCAGUGAAUGAAUAAAUGAAUGUACUUGCUUUGAAGCAUUUUCUCUUCUGCUCAAAUUUCUCUUCUGUGAAAUUUGCAGGAACAAUUUCAAGUAUUAUUGUCUUUCAAUAAUAUACACAAUUUUAUCCUACAUUUUCAUCACAAGGUCUUAAAGUCUUAUUAAGUUUCCCAGGCCAGGCCAAUGAAGAGAUCGAAAGGGUAAAUAGUUACUUCCAACUUAGAAGAAUGUUUAGUUUCUAGAAUAUCCUUAGAAUCCAGCCUUUUUCAAAAGCAAAUACACUUCAGGUUGGAGCUGAGCCUUCAGACAUACUGUUUCUGUUUUCCCCUGUAAAGCUUUGUUUCUUUCAUAACAUUGUAUAACAGGUAGACAGGUUAUGUUAUCUUCAGGAGGAAGGAUCCUAGCCCCGGAAAAGACUUUG